UACGAAGGGGGCUAGCGUUGUUCGGAAUUACUGGGCGUAAAGCGCGUGUAGGCGGGGCUUUAAGUCAGGGGUGAAAUGCCAAGGCUCAACCUUGGAACUGCCUUUGAUACUGGGGAUCUUGAGUCCGGGAGAGGUGAGUGGAAUUGCGAGUGUAGAGGUGAAAUUCGUAGAUAUUCGCAAGAACACCAGUGGCGAAGGCGGCUCACUGGCCCGGAACUGACGCUGAGACGCGAAAGCGUGGGGAGCAAACAGG
RNAcentral lists this ribosomal RNA (253 nucleotides) under uncultured bacterium. Its description in RNAcentral is "partial 16S ribosomal RNA". It matches the Rfam family "Bacterial small subunit ribosomal RNA", at positions 524 to 776 of the family's 1533-position model. The record is from RNAcentral.